AUCUCUUCUAAAAUAAUGUAAAGCAGUGAAGUAGAACAGUGUUGUUUUAGAGCAUCCAUGCUGUUUAUCUCCUUCUGUCUGACUCUGAACAUUUAACUGAACUUUGUACCACACAAAUCUCUUCCAUGCUCUGCAUCAUGCUUCUCUUCCUUUCUUUCUUAUCUUUGUGAUGCAGGUAGUAAGUCUGAAUUCUCUUCUGGUAAAUGAGCAGAGCUGCUUGAGCCCAUAGAUCUCUUCAAUGACUGGAUGGAACAGAGAAAGAGAACCUUUGUCAAAGAUCAAUUAUUUCUUAAUUGCAGGAUCUAUCACUGGAAGAACAUUUUUUAAGGAAAGAAACAGCAGUGUAAUCACAUCCAGAACUGCUUCAGAGAGCUGGCAUGGACUGUGCUGUCAUCCUACUAAACAAAUGAGGAGCUGAAGAAACAGACUUGGUAGAAUAUUUUUUUAAAUUUUAUUUUUCAAUGAAACUUCAAGUACUAUGGUUUGUUUGACAUUUGCACUGGAAAUGGUAUGGCUCCUGAGAGCAUGGCUACUUGUAUAAGGUAAUGUUUUUGCUUUGUUCUUAGAUAUGUUAG
This 575-nucleotide long non-coding RNA is filed under the name Parus major (Great Tit). RNAcentral describes it as "lncRNA (ENSPMJG00000013166.1)". Lineage: Eukaryota; Metazoa; Chordata; Aves; Passeriformes; Paridae. The record is from RNAcentral.